Chiloscyllium plagiosum (whitespotted bambooshark) is the source of this 866-nucleotide non-coding RNA. NCBI's taxonomy places the organism in Eukaryota, Metazoa, Chordata, Chondrichthyes, Orectolobiformes, Hemiscylliidae. The record is from RefSeq and is a predicted model, not a curated record.
AGCCGUUUUAGUACGGACACAGUUAGCAGAACACAAUUGUGAGGACCAUUCUUGAAAUAAUGUUUGCCCACGAUUUCUCUAACAACCCGAUAACUUGAAAGACAAUCUCUGAAAACAGGCUUUUUAAAAAGUUGUUGCAGAGACAGUGCUAAAACGAAUUUAAAAGCAGAGCCUAUAAUAAUUAUCCAGGAUACACUGAAAUUGUAAACUCGAACUUGCUAUCUACAAUUCCCGGGUAGUUAGAAAAAAAGCUUCCUAUAACUACUUAACUAAAAUCGAACUGUCUAGCUCCACCGGCCGAGACAUGGAGUACCUCAACCACUUCGCCAUUCUGCACUGCAAGCUCCUCAAUGGAUUUAGGUUCAUAAAUGCCAUCUACUCGGUACAGACUUUGUGCCUGAAAUGAAGAAAUGUGCAAAGUGUACACAGAUGCUGCUACAAACCUUUAAUAUUGGAGCAGAAGACAGGCAAAAGUCAGGGCAAAUGAAAGGAAAUGAAGACUACUAUGAACUUGCCCAGGACAACAGUUGAACAUCACUGCCUCAAAGUCUAUACCAGCAUCAGAGUCUUCAAAGAGUGACCAUUAGAAUUUCAAAGGCAUGUUCUCAGUGCCUAGAUUGGAUAGGAGAACGCCUAUCAUGUAAAGUAGCUAGUGUCUAUAAAAAUUAUGGUUGUCUGCUGCGCAUUAUAGCCAUGCAAAUAACGCUUCCCCUCAGAAGGUGAAGACGAAGUUAGCCAAGGGACUUUAUUUUUGUUUAUUCCUUCAUGGAAUUUGGGUGUCACUGGCUAAGCCAGCUGAAAUUGCUCAUCUCUAAUGGCCCAGAGGUAGUUAAGGUUCCACUACAUUGCUGUGGGUCUGGAAUCAC